RNAcentral lists this ribosomal RNA (305 nucleotides) under uncultured bacterium. Its description in RNAcentral is "bacterial SSU rRNA". It matches the Rfam family "Bacterial small subunit ribosomal RNA", at positions 29 to 361 of the family's 1533-position model. The record is from RNAcentral.
AACGAACGCUGGCGGCAUGCCUAACACAUGCAAGUCGAACGAGACCUUCGGGUCUAGUGGCGCACGGGUGCGUAACGCGUGGGGAUCUGCCCUUUGCUUCGGAAUAACAGUUAGAAAUGACUGCUAAUACCGGAUGAUGUCGUAAGACCAAAGAUUUAUCGGCAAAGGAUGAACCCGCGUAGGAUUAGCUAGUUGGUGGGGUAAAGGCCUACCAAGGCGACGAUCCUUAGCUGGUCUGAGAGGAUGAUCAGCCACACUGGGACUGAGACACGGCCCAGACUCCUACGGGAGGCAGCAGUGGGGAA